Molecule: long non-coding RNA, 1061 nt
Organism: Poecile atricapillus (Black-capped chickadee)
Lineage: Eukaryota; Metazoa; Chordata; Aves; Passeriformes; Paridae
Exons: 8
Source: RefSeq, a predicted model, not a curated record
UUUUCAAGUUGGCUGAUCCUGCCUGGCUCUGCAGGACACGCUGCUCCUUAUUGCAAUGAAGACCUCUGGAAGGAUUUGGGGAGUGCUAAUGAUUUUGUGUGUCCCCAACACUGAAGAUCUUUCUGGGGAAAAAACCCCAAAACCCAGGCAAUAACAACCCAACUGGAAACUUAAGAAACUCCAUAUUCUGAAUAAGAAUAUUUUAACAGUUUUUAGAAAUGCCCAAGGAGAACACAUUGUACCCUGCUCUGCCACUGUCACCACCGAAACCAUGCCAGCCUAAUGCAGAGUUUCUGCUCUUACAGGCUAAGAGGGGAUAAGACAGGCAGAUAUUUCUACCAGCCAAGUUUCACAAAAGGGAUGACACACUAGAGACCUCCAUGGAAAUUGUUGGUUGACUCCCUCCCACCAGAUGCAAGGAGGAGAACAGCAGUACCAAGAAGCUAAAUGGAGGUGUAACGUGGUCAUCAAUAAGAGAAUGCUUGUUUGUUGCCUUUUAUUCUCCUUCUUAUGCCUCUGAACUUUCGCAAUUUCAUGAACCCGCAACCAGGAGAAGGUGUUGGCAUCUUGAGGUUCCCCAGACACCUUCCAAGGCUGAGCCUCACCUUUGUCAAGAUGCUUGGAGAGAAAUCUGAGUGAGCGCUCCCCUGCCAAGCAGCACCGCUCUGGUGGAGGCUGUGCAACCCUGAGAGAUGCUCCCACUGCUCCUGCCGAAAGGCUGGCAGCAGAUGGGCCAACAGGAGCCUUCAGGUCCACAUCUGCUGGGGAGCACCCUGCUCACAGGGAGUCUGGGACCAAUCGGCUCUUCCAGACGAUCAAAUGUCACUAUAAGUUGAGAGCUGCAUCACCUUGGGACGCUCGCAGAUCCCAGCCUGCCCGUUCCCUCUGACAGGGAGCUUGCUGCUUCUCUCCACUCCUCCCAGGAACUAAUUGCCAACAUGUCUGAUACCGAGGAAGUGGAGCAAGGAGAGGGUAAGUCUUAGAUCUGUCUGUAAUUGCUUCUGUGCAAGCCUGCAAUAUUUGCUGGCUGUGUCAGCUGGUAUGGUUAGACAAAUCUGAAG